AGUGGCGGACGGGUGAGUAACGCGUGAGGAUCUGCCCUUAGGAUGGGGACAACAGUUGGAAACGACUGCUAAUACCCAAUGUGCCGAAAGGUGAAAGCUUUAGCGCCUGAGGAUGAACUCGCGUCUGAUUAGCUAGUUGGUAGUGUAAUGGACUACCAAGGCGACGAUCAGUAGCUGGUCUGAGAGGAUGAUCAGCCACACUGGGACUGAGACACGGCCCAGACUCCUACGGGAGGCAGCAGUGGGGAAUUUUCCGCAAUGGGCGAAAGCCUGACGGAGCAACGCCGCGUGAGGGAAGACGGCUCGUGGGUUGUAAACCUCUUUUCUCUAGGAAGAAGAACUGACGGUACUAGAGGAAUCAGCAUCGGCUAACUCCGUGGCAGCAGCCGCGGUAAUACGGAGGAUGCAAGCGUUAUCCGGAAUUAUUGGGCGUAAAGCGUCCGUAGGCGGUUUUACAAGUCUGCUGUUAAAGCGUGCAGCUCAACUGCAUAUAGGCAGUGGAAACUGUAAGACUAGAGUGUAGUAGGGGUAGAGGGAAUUCCCAGUGUAGCGGUGAAAUGCGUAGAUAUUGGGAAGAACACCGGUGGCGAAAGCGCUCUACUGGGCUACAACUGACGCUGAUGGACGAAAGCUAGGGGAGCGAAAGGGAUUAGAUACCCCUGUAGUCCUAGCCGUAAACGAUGGACGCUAGGCGU
Molecule: ribosomal RNA, 695 nt
Filed under: uncultured Oscillatoriales cyanobacterium
Lineage: Bacteria; Bacillati; Cyanobacteriota; Cyanophyceae; Oscillatoriales
Description: bacterial SSU rRNA
Rfam family: Bacterial small subunit ribosomal RNA
Source: RNAcentral